UGCAGAAUCCCGUGAACCAUCGAGUCUUUGAACGCAAGUUGCGCCCGAAGCCACUAGGCCGAGGGCACGUCUGCCUGGGCGUCACGC
This 87-nucleotide ribosomal RNA is filed under the name Morina alba. Its description in RNAcentral is "partial 5.8S ribosomal RNA". It matches the Rfam family "5.8S ribosomal RNA", at positions 73 to 154 of the family's 154-position model. Rfam says of the family: 5.8S ribosomal RNA (5.8S rRNA) is a component of the large subunit of the eukaryotic ribosome. It is transcribed by RNA polymerase I as part of the 45S precursor that also contains 18S and 28S rRNA. RNAcentral also lists the same sequence under 1 other name. The record is from RNAcentral. Lineage: Eukaryota; Viridiplantae; Streptophyta; Magnoliopsida; Dipsacales; Caprifoliaceae.